This 468-nucleotide ribosomal RNA is filed under the name uncultured bacterium. RNAcentral's name for it is "partial 16S ribosomal RNA". It matches the Rfam family "Bacterial small subunit ribosomal RNA", at positions 28 to 507 of the family's 1533-position model. The record is from RNAcentral.
GACGAACGCUGGCGGCGUGCUUAACACAUGCAAGUCGAACGGAAAGGCCCUGCUUUUGUGGGGUGCUCGAGUGGCGAAGGGGGGAGUAACACGUGAGUAAACUGCCCUUGACUUUGGGAUAACUUCAGGAAACUGGGGCUAAUACCGGAUAGGAGCUCCUGCUGCAUGGUGGGGGUUGGAAAGUUUCGGCGGUUGGGGAUGGACUCGCGGCUUAUCAGCUUGUUGGUGGGGUAGUGGCUUACCAAGUCUUUGACGGGUAGCCGGCCUGAGAGGGUGACCGGCCACAUUGGGACUGAGAUACGGCCCAGACUCCUACGGGAGGCAGCAGUGGGGAAUAUUGCACAAUGGGCGGAAGCCUGAUGCAGCAACGCCGCGUGCGGGAUGACGGCCUUCGGGUUGUAAACCGCUUUCGCCUGUGACGAAGCGUGAGUGACGGUAAUGGGUAAAGAAGCACCGGCUAACUACGUG